RNAcentral lists this ribosomal RNA (494 nucleotides) under uncultured bacterium. RNAcentral's name for it is "partial 16S ribosomal RNA". It matches the Rfam family "Bacterial small subunit ribosomal RNA", at positions 28 to 507 of the family's 1533-position model. The record is from RNAcentral.
GACGAACGCUGGCGGCGUGCUUAACACAUGCAAGUCGAACGGUGAAGCGCCUUCCUUUUUGGUGGGUGUGGAUGAGUGGCGAACGGGUGAGUAACACGUGAGUAACCUGCCCCCUUCUUCUGGAUAACCGCAUGAAAGUGUGGCUAAUACGGGAUAUUCUGGGUCUGUCGCAUGAUGGGUCUGGGAAAGAUAUUGUUUCGGUGGGGGAUGGGCUCGCGGCCUGUCAGCUUGUUGGUGGGGUGAUGGCCUACCAAGGCGGUGACGGGUAGCCGGCCUGAGAGGGUGGACGGUCACACUGGGACUGAGACACGGCCCAGACUCCUACGGGAGGCAGCAGUGGGGAAUAUUGCACAAUGGGCGCAAGCCUGAUGCAGCGACGCCGCGUGAGGGAUGGAGGCCUUCGGGUUGUGAACCUCUUUCGCCAGUGAAGCAGGCCUGCCUCGUUUGUGGGUGGGUUGACGGUAGCUGGAUAAGAAGCGCCGGCUAACUACGUG